AGCCGCCGCGGGAAUACGGAGGGUGCAAGCGUUAAUCGGAAUUACUGGGCGUAAAGCGCACGCAGGCGGUCUGUCAAGUCAGAUGUGAAAUCCCCGGGCUUAACCUGGGAACUGCAUUUGAAACUGGCAGGCUAGAGUCUUGUAGAGGGGGGUAGAAUUCCAGGUGUAGCGGUGAAAUGCGUAGAGAUCUGGAGGAAUACCGGUGGCGAAGGCGGCCCCCUGGACAAAGACUGACGCUUAGGUGCGAAAGCGUGGGGAGCAAACAGGAUUAGAUACCCGCGUAGUCCCUGUCUCUUAUACA
This 301-nucleotide ribosomal RNA is filed under the name uncultured bacterium. Its description in RNAcentral is "partial 16S ribosomal RNA". It matches the Rfam family "Bacterial small subunit ribosomal RNA", at positions 510 to 808 of the family's 1533-position model. The record is from RNAcentral.